This 867-nucleotide ribosomal RNA is filed under the name uncultured bacterium. RNAcentral describes it as "bacterial SSU rRNA". It matches the Rfam family "Bacterial small subunit ribosomal RNA", at positions 28 to 904 of the family's 1533-position model. The record is from RNAcentral.
GAUGAACGCUGGCGGCGUGCUUAACACAUGCAAGUCGAGCGGAGAUAUGAAGGAGCUUGCUCUGGAUUAUCUUAGCGGCGGACGGGUGAGUAACGCGUGGGCAAUCUGCCUUAUACAGGGGAAUAACCGCGGGAAACCGCGACUAAUACCUCAUGUCAUCACCGGGAGGCAUCUUCUGGUGAAAAAAGGAGCAAUCCGGUAUAAGAGGAGCCCGCGUCUGAUUAGCUAGUUGGUGGGGUAACGGCCUACCAAGGCGACGAUCAGUAGCCGACCUGAGAGGGUGAUCGGCCACAUUGGGACUGAGACACGGCCCAAACUCCUACGGGAGGCAGCAGUGGGGAAUAUUGCACAAUGGGCGCAAGCCUGAUGCAGCAACGCCGCGUGAAGGAAGAAGGUUUUCGGAUUGUAAACUUCUAUCAUCAGGGACGAAAAAAAUGACGGUACCCGAAUAAGAAGCCCCGGCUAACUACGUGCCAGCAGCCGCGGUAAUACGUAGGGGGCAAGCGUUAUCCGGAAUUACUGGGUGUAAAGGGUGAGUAGGCGGCAUGGUAAGUUAGAUGUGAAAGCCCGGGGCUCAACUCCGGGAUUGCAUUUAAAACUACUAAGCUAGAGUACAGGAGAGGUAAGCGGAAUUCCUAGUGUAGCGGUGAAAUGCGUAGAUAUUAGGAAGAACACCGGUGGCGAAGGCGGCUUACUGGACUGAAACUGACGCUGAGGCACGAAAGCGUGGGGAGCAAACAGGAUUAGAUACCCUGGUAGUCCACGCUGUAAACGAUGAGUGCUAGGUGUUGGGGGGGAACCCUCAGUGCCGCAGCUAACGCAAUAAGCACUCCACCUGGGGAGUACGGCCGCAAGGUUGAAACUCAA